Molecule: non-coding RNA, 1106 nt
Organism: Oncorhynchus mykiss (rainbow trout)
Lineage: Eukaryota; Metazoa; Chordata; Actinopteri; Salmoniformes; Salmonidae
Source: RefSeq, a predicted model, not a curated record
GCUCAAUGGACCUCCUCUUGAUCUUUCUCCUCUGGAAAGGCCAUGCAGCAGAGUAUAGGUAUUCAGACGUUCCUGGGUACUGGACAGACCAUCUUUUCCAGAAUACAUUGACAUGGGAUCCGGCGGCACAUGCAAUAUAAGAUCUGCAGUUUUCCUGCAUUCAAGUACAAAUAUGUGACAACCACAACAUUGUGAGUGUUAAAAUGACAAAGACCUUCUCAUAUCGAAGACAAAAUGUCGUUCCGGCCCUUUCUGUGAAGGACUUCAAUGAAAGAUGGCCAACCCUGUUUGAACCCACUCAGGUACAAAAUACAGCCGAAGGAAAAUAGUCAAUAUUAAGGAAGAGUUCAGAAGAAUUACAACUGUUUCUCUUGAGUCCACCUUUAUGCAGAAGCUGGACGAAUAUACACCAACAUGUUUUGACUUGUUUAAGUCAAAAGGAGGUGCUAUAAAGGCGGUUUGUAACAGUAUAGACUUUACGUCCGUCCCCUCGCCCCGACCUGGGCGCCUACCAGGGACUCUCUGCACACGUCAACAGUCACCCUCGAAACAUCGUUACCCAUCGCUCCACAAAAGCCUGUCAAAAUAAUAUGUGCAUAUGGAGUCAGGUUUAAGGGAGAAUUUGGCAUAUAUUUUGUAACAAAUGUGCAAUGUAUGUUUUGAAACCCCAUGUUUUGAUUAAUCUAAAACAGUUUGAAUGAGGUUGUAUUUGAGCUAAGGUUCAUAUUGUGCUUUGUGUAAAGUCUAUUUAGACAAAUCGUUAAUUUACGUUUCUGUUAAAAUAUUGCUUUGUUGUUAAGGGGCACACAGACCACCAGAAAAUCUUUGCCAAUCUGUACACGAUGUGCGGUCAAAGUGCUAAUCCCAAACUAUCACAUACAACUUUAUGCAGUUGUGAAGAUCUAUAAUUAUUUGUAGUUAGGUGCAAGCUAUCUGGAUGUAACUUUACCUAAGGAGGCAAGGUGUAGUUAUACCCAGAAUGCUUACAGAUGACAAAAUAUGAAUGCCUAAGGAGUAAGGUUUAAAGGGCAAUUUGAGAUUGAAGUUUGAAGAAAUGAUAAAAUUAUAACAUUUAUUUUAUUAAAAUAAAGAUGUGGAAGUUUGAA